GACGAACGCUGGCGGCAUGCCUAACACAUGCAAGUCGAACGGAGAUUAUUUCGGUAAUCUUAGUGGCGAACGGGUGAGUAACGCGUGGGCAACCUGCCCUCUAGAUGGGGACAACAUCCCGAAAGGGGUGCUAAUACCGAAUGUGACAGCAAUCUCGCAUGAGGAUGCUGUGAAAGAUGGCCUCUAUUUAUAAGCUAUCGCUAGAGGAUGGGCCUGCGUCUGAUUAGCUAGUUGGUGGGGUAACGGCCUACCAAGGCGAUGAUCAGUAGCCGGUCUGAGAGGAUGAACGGCCACAUUGGGACUGAGACACGGCCCAGAAUCCUACGGGAGGCAGCAGUGGGGAAUCUUCCGCAAUGGGCGAAAGCCUGACGGAGCAAUGCCGCGUGAGUGAUGAAGGAAUUCGUUCCGUAAAGCUCUUUUGUUUAUGACGAAUGUGCAGAUUGUGAACAAUGAUCUGUAAUGACGGUAGUAAACGGAUAAGCCACGGCUAACUACGUG
RNAcentral lists this ribosomal RNA (498 nucleotides) under uncultured bacterium. RNAcentral describes it as "partial 16S ribosomal RNA". It matches the Rfam family "Bacterial small subunit ribosomal RNA", at positions 28 to 507 of the family's 1533-position model. The record is from RNAcentral.